CGGGGUGCACCAGGCGCGAAAACUUUACAAUGCUGGCAACAGCGAUAAGGGGACCUCGAGUGCCAGGAUACAAUCUUGGCUGUCGCGAUGCCUAAAAAGCAUUGCAUAGCAAGGGCCGGGCAAGACCGGUGCCAGCCGCCGCGGUAACACCGGCGGCUCGAGUGGUAACCGCUAUUAUUGGGUCUAAAGGGUCUGUAGCCGGCCGGAUAAGUCUUUUGGGAAAUCCAGCUGCUCAACAGUUGGGCUUUCAGAAGAUACUGUUCGGCUCGAGACCGGGAGAGGUGAGAGGUACUUCAGGGGUAGGGGUGAAAUCUUGUAAUCCUUGAAGGACCACCAGUGGCGAAGGCGUCUCACCAGAACGGAUCUGACGGCAAGGGACGAAAGCUAGGGGCACGAACCGGAUUAGAUACCCGGGUAGUCCUAGCCGUAAACGAUACUCGCUAGGUGUCAGCCACGGUGCGACCGUGGUUGGUGCCGUAGGGAAGCCGUGAAGCGAGCCACCUGGGAAGUACGGCCGCAAGGCUGAAACUUAAAGGAAUUGGCGGG
This 546-nucleotide ribosomal RNA is filed under the name uncultured archaeon. RNAcentral describes it as "bacterial SSU rRNA". It matches the Rfam family "Archaeal small subunit ribosomal RNA", at positions 326 to 872 of the family's 1478-position model. The record is from RNAcentral.